Molecule: long non-coding RNA, 1160 nt
Filed under: Phasianus colchicus (ring-necked pheasant)
Lineage: Eukaryota; Metazoa; Chordata; Aves; Galliformes; Phasianidae
Description: lncRNA (ENSPCLG00000007272.1)
Source: RNAcentral
CGCUUUGGGGUGGGCAGAGUUGGGAAGUUGGUAUGGCAGGAUUAAAGUAACUGGAGAGAAGAGCUGGGUAACAAGUUUGGGGAUAGAGACAGUCUGCAGACAGGAUGAGAUGCGAUGGUAGUAUUGUCACGGUGUAAUCACUAGGGAGCAAGGGGAUUAUUCCUGCUGAGUUGUGACCAUGUGCUAUGCUCCCAGCGCUGGACGGGAACCACUGCAAUAACCACUUCCCAUAGCAAAAAAGCCGAAGUUAUAAGACAAAAAACAGGAUUUUUGUGUAACCACUGCAGAUGACUCCUCUGGAGGAAGAGCAGUAAGGCACAAACAAGAGCACACACAUUUCCUCCUCUUGUUUGGGUUGCAGCAUGAACCUCCUUGUAGUCUCCUCCACUAUGCAGUCCAUCAUGUCACGACAUGCAUUCCCUUGGCAAAUACACUAACACCCAUGAACAUGUACUGUGAUCAAUUUGCAGUGUAUGUACAACUGAAACAGUCAAGUCAGACUGUAAAUUUACUUACCUCUCAGAGUUUACAGAAAGAGUCAUAACCCUCCCUCUGCUAGUCCAAACUAGUAAGGUACCGGGCUGUUCAGUCAUCCAGCAAGAAGCCAGUGCAGUUAUGCCAUUUUCCCCUCUUGUCCUGAGUCUGCACUGUGUAAAGAGCCAUCAGCACUGGCAAAAGCAUCAGGAGUGGAUGGGAAUGCUGAUGAGGACGAUCUUCCAGUUGUUGCUGUUCAAAAUCUCUUAUCUGCCAUGUUUUGCUCCCUGUGUGAGCAAUAUGUAAUGCUAACUGAGCAGUGCUGAAACAGGAUGAUAAACUAAACUAGGGGAGAAACUGAGCUGUUAAUCUCAGCCUGCUUUAAAAGCCUAUUAGGGACUGACUGGCUCAGCAUUGCCACAAAGGCUGCGGUGCACCAGAGUGAAGUAAUGAGCUGACAAGUGGGUGAGCUCACCUGGCAGGAGCCCAGGGAGGGCAGAGACACAGUGCAGCUGGUGUUGCCUCGACAUCUCUCAUUACCUUCAUCAAAUGUUUGUCUGUACACAGCCUGUACAGAAGAAACUUCUGUCCAAGGACAUUAGGUGCCUCCAGGGUGAAGCAGGGCUCUCAGGAGUGCUUCUUGUGCAUUCCUUUUCAUUUUGAAAGUGCCUACACACUUUGAUAUC